UAGGAUUUAUUCCAAUGACCUCUUCUUCUUCCUUGCCUUUUGCAGUUUCAAUUUUUCCACCUUCAGCUGCUGGAUUCACCUCCUGUGGAAAACCCACUGUAUUAACAUCUUCCUCUUCAUCCUCAGCAGUUUUCUGUAAUAAUUGCCUUCUUGUUUCCUUUACUUUCUUUUUCCUCUCACCAUUAGAUUUUUUACUACCUUCCUUGCUUAAAGAAGCUUCCUCCAACAAUUUCUUCUUUAUUUUAUUUUUUCCACUUUUCACCCUCAUAUCACCAGCUUGUAAAUUCCCUCCAGCUGGAGGGCUGUGUUCAUUGAUCUCCUGUUCAUGCUCUGUUUUUACACUUUCCUGCGAUUGCUUUUUCUUUUUAUUCUUCCUAC
RNAcentral lists this unclassified non-coding RNA (378 nucleotides) under Hevea brasiliensis (rubber tree). The record is from RNAcentral. Lineage: Eukaryota; Viridiplantae; Streptophyta; Magnoliopsida; Malpighiales; Euphorbiaceae.